GACGAACGCUGGCGGCGUGCUUAACACAUGCAAGUCGAACGGUGAAGCGCCUUCCUUUUUGGUGGGUGUGGAUGAGUGGCGAACGGGUGAGUAACACGUGAGUAACCUGCCCCCUUCUUCUGGAUAACCGCAUGAAAGUGUGGCUAAUACGGGAUAUUCUGGGUCUGUCGCAUGAUGGGUCUGGGAAAGAUAUUGUUUCGGUGGGGGAUGGGCUCGCGGCCUAUCAGCUUGUUGGUGGGGUGAUGGCCUACCAAGGCGGUGACGGGUAGCCGGCCUGAGAGGGUGGACGGUCACACUGGGACGGAGACACGGCCCCGACUCCUACGGGAGGCAGCAGUGGGGAAUAUUGCACAAUGGGCGCAAGCCUGAUGCAGCGACGCCGCGUGAGGGAUGGAGGCCGUCGGGUUGUGAACCUCUUUCGCCAGUGAAGCAGGCCUGCCUCGUUUGUGGGUGGGUUGACGGUAGCUGGAUAAGAAGCGCCGGCUAACUACGUG
RNAcentral lists this ribosomal RNA (494 nucleotides) under uncultured bacterium. RNAcentral describes it as "partial 16S ribosomal RNA". It matches the Rfam family "Bacterial small subunit ribosomal RNA", at positions 28 to 507 of the family's 1533-position model. The record is from RNAcentral.